GACGAACGCUGGCGGCGUGCUUAACACAUGCCAGUCGAACGGAAAGGCCCUGCUUUUGUGGGGUGCUCGAGUGGCGAACGGGUGAGUAACACGUGAGUAACCUGCCCUUGACUUUGGGAUAACUUCAGGAAACUGGGGCUAAUACCGGAUAGGAGCUCCUGCUGCAUGGUGGGGGUUGGAAAGUUUCGGCGGUUGGGGAUGGACUCGCGGCUUAUCAGCUUGUUGGUGGGGUAGUGGCUUACCAAGGCUUUGUCGGGUAGCCGGCCUGAGAGGGUGACCGGCCACAUUGGGACUGAGAUACGGCCCAGACUCCUACGGGAGGCAGCAGUGGGGAAUAUUGCACAAUGGGCGGAAGCCUGAUGCAGCAACGCCGCGUGCGGGAUGACGGCCUUCGGGUUGUAAACCGCUUUCGCCUGUGACGAAGCGUGAGUGACGGUAAUGGGUAAAGAAGCACCGGCUAACUACGUG
RNAcentral lists this ribosomal RNA (468 nucleotides) under uncultured bacterium. RNAcentral describes it as "partial 16S ribosomal RNA". It matches the Rfam family "Bacterial small subunit ribosomal RNA", at positions 28 to 507 of the family's 1533-position model. The record is from RNAcentral.